This 453-nucleotide ribosomal RNA is filed under the name uncultured bacterium. RNAcentral describes it as "bacterial SSU rRNA". It matches the Rfam family "Bacterial small subunit ribosomal RNA", at positions 340 to 786 of the family's 1533-position model. The record is from RNAcentral.
UACGGGAGGCAGCGGUGGGGAAUAUUGCACAAUGGGCGCAAGCCUGAUGCAGCCAUGCCGCGUGUAUGAAAAAGGCCUUCGGGUUGUAAAGUACUUUCAGUCGUGAGGAAGGUGUUAAGGUUAAUAACCUUAGCAAUUGACGUUAGCGACAGAAGAAGCACCGGCUAACUCCGUGCCAGCAGCCGCGGUAAUACGGAGGGUGCGAGCGUUAAUCGGAAUUACUGGGCGUAAAGGGCACGCAGGCGGUUAAUUAAGUUGGAUGUGAAUCCCCGGGCUUAACCUGGGAAUGGCAUUCAAGACUGGUUAGCUAGAGUCUUGUAGAGGGGGGUAGAAUUCCAUGUGUAGCGGUGAAAUGCGUAGAGAUGUGGAGGAAUACCGGUGGCGAAGGCGGCCCCUGGACAAAGACUGACGCUCAUGUGCGAAAGCGUGGGGAGCAAACAGGGAUUAGAUACC